GCGACUGGUCAUUCCUGGGCUGGCUCCUGACCCGAGUGCAGAACGAUUCCACCGUGGUUGGCAAGGUAUGGCUCACUGUCCUGGUCUUACACAUCCUGCUUGUCGCCCUGCUGGGAAGUGCUGUCUGUGGGAUGAGCACUGCAAGUUCAUCUGCAAUACCCUGCGGCCUGGCUGCACCAAUGACCACUUCUCCCACUUCCGCUGGGGCUUUCCAGAUUGUGCUGGUGGCCGUACCCUCCAUCUUCUUUGUUGUCUGUGUGCUGCACUAGAUGGUGAAUGGGAGACAGUGGAUGUGGAGAGGGGGUACCUGCUGGAAACCGUGCAAGAGCUGGCAGCUGGAGGGGCUCUCCCUGGACCCAGGCUGGGGCCCCUUGGGGCUUCUUUCUUUCUAGAGGGGCAGCUCUUAGUAGGAGAGGAGGUUUUUCCCCAAAUGCCUUGGGGCUGCCACCUGGUACCCCAGCCUGCAGUCAUACAGGGUCCUGGCUGUCUGCACUGCCCACGUGGUGCUGCGGGCCUGCAUGGAGCUGGCCUUCCUGGUGGGGUCUACUCUCUGGGUGUGAUAUGCCAUGGUUGCUUCACUGCCACUCCUCCCCUGUCCCUCCAGUCCUGACUGCUUUGUGUCCAGAGCCAUGAGGAAGAAAAUCUUCCUGAACUUCAUGUGCAGGUGGGGUUGGGCUGCUUCCUCCUGAACCCGAUGGAGUUGUGCUACCUGGGC
Molecule: long non-coding RNA, 715 nt
Filed under: Homo sapiens (human)
Lineage: Eukaryota; Metazoa; Chordata; Mammalia; Primates; Hominidae
Description: non-protein coding lnc-MYO18A-1:1
Source: RNAcentral